RNAcentral lists this ribosomal RNA (494 nucleotides) under uncultured bacterium. RNAcentral's name for it is "bacterial SSU rRNA". It matches the Rfam family "Bacterial small subunit ribosomal RNA", at positions 24 to 518 of the family's 1533-position model. The record is from RNAcentral.
UCAGGAUGAACGCUGGCGGCGUGCUUAACACAUGCAAGUCGAACGGAGUAUGUUAACCGAGACCUUCGGGUCUCACCUGAUAUACUUAGUGGCGGACGGGUGAGUAACGCGUGAGCAACCAACCUUAUGCAGAGGGAUAACAAUUAGAAAUGAUUGCUAAUACCUCAUAAGACCACGCUAUCGCAUGGUAAAGUGGGAAAAAACUCCGGUGGCAUAAGACGGGCUCGCGUUCGAUUAGCUAGAUGGUGGGGUAACGGCCUACCAUGGCGACGAUCGAUAGCCGGACUGAGAGGUCGACCGGCCACAUUGGGACUGAGACACGGCCCAGACUCCUACGGGAGGCAGCAGUGGGGAAUAUUGCACAAUGGGGGAAACCCUGAUGCAGCGACGCCGCGUGAGUGAAGAAGUAUUUCGGUAUGUAAAGCUCUUUUAGCAGGGAAGAUGAUGACGGUACCUGCAGAAAAAGCCCCGGCUAAAUACGUGCCAGCAGCCGC